UCGAGCGAGCUUGCCUAGAUGAUUUUAGUGCUUGCACUAAAUGAAACUAGAUACAAGCGAGCGGCGGACGGGUGAGUAACACGUGGGUAACCUGCCCUAGAGACUGGGAUAACACCUGGAAACAGAUGCUAAUACCGGAUAACAACACUAGACGCAUGUCUAGAGUUUGAAAGAUGGUUCUGCUAUCACUCUUGGAUGGACCUGCGGUGCAUUAGCUAGUUGGUAAGGUAACGGCUUACCAAGGCAAUGAUGCAUAGCCGAGUUGAGAGACUGAUCGGCCACAUUGGGACUGAGACACGGCCCAAACUCCUACGGGAGGCAGCAGUAGGGAAUCUUCCACAAUGGACGAAAGUCUGAUGGAGCAACGCCGCGUGAGUGAAGAAGGGUUUCGGCUCGUAAAGCUCUGUUGGUAGUGAAGAAAGAUAGAGGUAGUAACUGGCCUUUAUUUGACGGUAAUUACUUAGAAAGUCACGGCUAACUACGUGCCAGCAGCCGCGGUAAUACGUAGGUGGCAAGCGUUGUCCGGAUUUAUUGGGCGUAAAGCGAGUGCAGGCGGUUCAAUAAGUCUGAUGUGAAAGCCUUCGGCUCAACCGGAGAAUUGCAUCAGAAACUGUUGAACUUGAGUGCAGAAGAGGAGAGUGGAACUCCAUGUGUAG
Molecule: ribosomal RNA, 656 nt
Filed under: uncultured bacterium
Lineage: Bacteria
Description: bacterial SSU rRNA
Rfam family: Bacterial small subunit ribosomal RNA
Source: RNAcentral